CAAUCCUCUACUCGCGGUAUAGCGAGAAGGGGCUGAAUUUACUAAUACUAAGUAAUCUUUACUUAGUAAUAGUAAAUUUGGCUGAGAGACCAAUUUAGGUCUUUCAGCCUUUUAGUAGAUAGCUCCCUAAUACCGUGGGAAUUAGGGAGUUAUCUACUUAUUCAUUCCUGUCAUUACAUGACUGGCUAAGUAACUUACAUUAAAUAUGAAUGUAUGUUACUUGAUUGUUGUAAGUGUUGCAAAUGCUUACAGCUGAAUCCUGGCUAUGUUGUAUACUUUUUAUUUAAAAUUGUAUACAGUGUAACAUUCUUCUUCUUUCACUGGGUAAGUAUAUUAGUACUUAGGCAAUACUGUGCUUCGGAACAUCGGCACUUCAGCAAUUCGGCACUUCGGCACUACUACACUUCGGAAAUUAUUAUUUAUUUAUUAUAGCCACUCUUAUAUAUCUUCACAGAUCCAUAGGUAUACCCCUUCUCGGUGUCUCCACUCUGCCCAUGCACUCACGCUUGCAGGACUUCUCGCUGGCGGCUCCCUUCCUAUGGAAUAGCCUGCCUACCGUCAUGAAACUCUCCCCUAGUCUUAAAUCGUUUAAGAAGUGCCUUAAAACCCAUCUCUUUAGGAAAGCUUUUGGCCUCCCAGAGAAACCUCUACCUUACAUACCUGUCUCUUGCUCCCUCCUAAAGGGCAGCACUCUACUCUCUCCUCCAGCUCUGCUUCACUCCCACCUUGAUUGCUGUUUCCUGUCCUAUUGUGUUUUACACCCCACCUCCUAUAGACUGUAAGCUCGUUUAAGCAGGGUCCUCUUAAACCUAUCUGUAAGUUUUCUUGUAAUUGUCCUAUUUAUAGUUAAAUCCCCCCUCUCAUAAUAUUGUAAAGCACUACUGAAUCUGUUGGUGCUAUAUAAAUAGUGAUAAUAUUAAUAAUAUUAACCAAAAAUACUAAUACGCAGACUGACUUACGGUUUGUUCAGGUUUAUUCUUGGGGUUACGGAUACAUAAUAAAAC
Pelobates cultripes (western spadefoot toad) is the source of this 1004-nucleotide non-coding RNA. Lineage: Eukaryota; Metazoa; Chordata; Amphibia; Anura; Pelobatidae. The record is from the annotation of a GenBank genome assembly.